ACGGCCCCCUAUUCCUACGGGAAGCAGCAGUGAGGAAUUUUUCACAAUGGACGAAAGUCUGAUGGAGCAAUACCACGUGAACGAUGAAGGUCUUCUGAUUGUAAAGUUCUUUUAUUUAGGAAAAAAAGCGCGCUAGGAAAUGAGCGCGCCUUGAUGGUACUAAUUGAAUAAGUGACAGCUAACUAUGUGCCAGCAGCUGCGGUAAAACAUAGGUCACAAGCAUUAUCCGGAUUUAUUGGGCGUAAAGGAAGCGUAGGCGGGGAGGCUGAUCCAUUGUUAAAGGCAUUUGCUCAACAAAUGUGUGCGAUGGAGAUCUCCUCCCUAGAGUUAAUCAGGGGGUACUGGAAUUCAAUGUGUAGCGGUGGAAUGCGUAGAUAUAUUGAGGAACACCAGAGGCUAAGGCGAGUACCUGGGAUAUAACUGACGCUGAGGCUUGAAAGCGUGGGGAGCAAAUGGGAUUAGAUACCCCAGUAGUCCACGCCGUAAACGAUGAGCAUUAGGUAUUUGAUGUUAGGUCGAGUGCUGUAGCUAACGCGUUAAAUGCUCCGCCUGGGUAGUAUAUAUGCAAAUAUGAAACUCAAAGAAAUUGACGGGGACCUGAACAAGUGGUGGAGCA
Molecule: ribosomal RNA, 616 nt
Filed under: Mycoplasma ovis
Lineage: Bacteria; Bacillati; Mycoplasmatota; Mollicutes; Mycoplasmatales; Mycoplasmataceae
Description: bacterial SSU rRNA
Rfam family: Bacterial small subunit ribosomal RNA
Source: RNAcentral